GUAGGUGAACCUGCGGAAGGAUCAUUGU
Molecule: ribosomal RNA, 28 nt
Filed under: Moeroris amara
Lineage: Eukaryota; Viridiplantae; Streptophyta; Magnoliopsida; Malpighiales; Phyllanthaceae
Description: Phyllanthus amarus partial 18S ribosomal RNA
Source: RNAcentral